AAUUAAUAACCUAGUUAAAGCAAAAUUUAAAAUAGGAAGUCUGUUCGACUUUUAAAUAAUUACGUGAUUUGAGUUCAGACCGGUACAAGCCAGGUCGGUUUCUAUCUUUUAAAUAUAUUUUUGUAGUACGAAAGGACCUAAAAAUUUAAUAUUACUUAUUAUAUUGGCAGAGCAAUGCAUUAGAAUUAGAAUCUAAUUAUGUU
This 203-nucleotide ribosomal RNA is filed under the name Sassacus sp. MCH-2001. RNAcentral describes it as "partial 16S ribosomal RNA". Lineage: Eukaryota; Metazoa; Arthropoda; Arachnida; Araneae; Salticidae. The record is from RNAcentral.